CUCUGCACAUGCGUACUAACCAUUUAACUGGAAUCAGUUGUGUUGCAGCAGGCAGACAUCUAAGAUCUGCAGGAUCUGCAGGAUGAGGACCAGGGUUGGG
This is a long non-coding RNA of Melanotaenia boesemani (Boeseman's rainbowfish), 100 nucleotides long. RefSeq lists it as uncharacterized. The record is from RefSeq and is a predicted model, not a curated record. NCBI's taxonomy places the organism in Eukaryota, Metazoa, Chordata, Actinopteri, Atheriniformes, Melanotaeniidae. The transcript is spliced from 3 exons.